AAAUUGAAGAGUUUGAUCAUGGCUCAGAUUGAACGCUGGCGGCAGGCCUAACACAUGCAAGUCGAACGGUAACAGGAAACAGCUUGCUGUUUCGCUGACGAGUGGCGGACGGGUGAGUAAUGUCUGGGAAACUGCCUGAUGGAGGGGGAUAACUACUGGAAACGGUAGCUAAUACCGCAUAAUGUCGCAAGACUAAAGAGGGGGACCUUCGGGCCUCUUGCCAUCGGAUGUGCCCAGAUGGGAUUAGCUAGUAGGUGGGGUAACGGCUCACCUAGGCGACGAUCCCUAGCUGGUCUGAGAGGAUGACCAGCCACACUGGAACUGAGACACGGUCCAGACUCCUACGGGAGGCAGCAGUGGGGAAUAUUGCACAAUGGGCGCAAGCCUGAUGCAGCCAUGCCGCGUGUAUGAAGAAGGCCUUCGGGUUGUAAAGUACUUUCAGCGGGGAGGAAGGGA
RNAcentral lists this ribosomal RNA (456 nucleotides) under Shigella sonnei. RNAcentral describes it as "bacterial SSU rRNA". It matches the Rfam family "Bacterial small subunit ribosomal RNA", at positions 1 to 453 of the family's 1533-position model. The record is from RNAcentral. Lineage: Bacteria; Pseudomonadati; Pseudomonadota; Gammaproteobacteria; Enterobacterales; Enterobacteriaceae.